Molecule: ribosomal RNA, 120 nt
Filed under: uncultured bacterium
Lineage: Bacteria
Description: partial 16S ribosomal RNA
Rfam family: Bacterial small subunit ribosomal RNA
Source: RNAcentral
GAUGAACGCUAGCGGCAGGCCUAAUACAUGCAAGCUGAACGGUAAAUAUUGUAGCAAUACAAUAUGAGAGUAGCGUAAGGGUGCGUAACACGUAUGCAAUCUGCCCUGUACAGGAGGAUA